AUACGGAGGAUGCGAGCGUUAUCCGGAUUUAUUGGGUUUAAAGGGAGCGUAGGCGGGAGCUAAAGUCAGCGGUUAAAUGGUGCGGCUCAACCGUGCCCUGCCGUUGAAACUGGGUUUCUUGAGAGUGCAAGAGGCGGAUGGAAUUCAUGGUGUAGCGGUGAAAUGCUUAGAUAUCAUGAAGAACUCCGAUUGCGAAGGCAGUCCGCUGGGGCACGUCUGACGCUGAUGCUCGAAGGUGCGGGAAUCAAACAGGAUUAGAUACCCUGGUAGUCCGCACGGUAAACGAUGAUUACCCGCUGUCGGCGGCAGACAGUCGGCGGCCAAGCGAAAGCGAUAAGUAAUCCACCUGGGGAGUACGCCGGCAACGGUGAAACUCAAAGGAAUUGGCGGGG
This 392-nucleotide ribosomal RNA is filed under the name uncultured bacterium. RNAcentral describes it as "partial 16S ribosomal RNA". It matches the Rfam family "Bacterial small subunit ribosomal RNA", at positions 523 to 918 of the family's 1533-position model. The record is from RNAcentral.